GGUUCGGGAGCCCGCCGGUGGGACGGCGGGCAGGCAUGGAACCCAAGACAUCCGCGUUCGAAAGGCGCUCCUCCGUGGCCCGACGGAGAGACGCG
Molecule: regulatory RNA element, 95 nt
Organism: Gemmobacter megaterium
Lineage: Bacteria; Pseudomonadati; Pseudomonadota; Alphaproteobacteria; Rhodobacterales; Paracoccaceae
Rfam family: Rhodo-rpoB RNA
Source: Rfam